GAUCGCCUGAUCCAGUCCCAAGACCUGUGUUCAUUGUGCUUUACGGCCUUUCAGGAAAUCUCUCCAAUCGAAAUGGAUAGCACGCAGGGAAAUCAAUAUAUAUUGCAGCUUGUCUGAAGCUUUCAGCAUAAUCACAUAACGGCAAACGGCAAAAGUGAUGCUGGGAUUCUUCAGAAUUUCACCAACACAAGGUAUGGUUAGAAUGUUAAAUCGUUUGAUGGUAUCAUCUGAAACCUGUUCUGCAAGGAUACACACCUGCACCGAAUUACUGGCAUCAAAAGUACACUAAUUUAGUGUUACAGAAUCAAACUGCAAAUACCCUAAAACACCUGAAUAAGCAGCCUACGUUUCAGCCUGUAUAAUGCAUACUACAUUCUGAGCUUCUGAUGAUUCCUUGCCUACUGUUCUCUUUUAACCUCUGAUAUCUCAAACCGACGAAGCAGUGUUACAACUACAGUCUAGAUUUCUAGUCGAUCUUGACUGAAGAGUAGAUGAGCCUGGUGAACCAGAAGCAGGCGUAGAAGCCGAUGGUGCCGGU
This is a long non-coding RNA of Setaria italica (foxtail millet), 538 nucleotides long. RefSeq lists it as uncharacterized. Lineage: Eukaryota; Viridiplantae; Streptophyta; Magnoliopsida; Poales; Poaceae. The transcript is spliced from 2 exons. The record is from RefSeq and is a predicted model, not a curated record.